CCACGUCAUGUGUAGAGGCUGACAGUGCAGCAUUAACACGAGUGUGAAGACAUGCAUGGUGAGGAUUAGCCUCAGAAUCCAAAAUCUUCAGAGAAGAGAGGAGGAGACAGCAGGAUUCAUCGGGGCUGCAGCUACGCAUGUAUUAUUUUAUAUAAUACAUUCCAGACCAAAUAUGGCAAAAUGAACAGAGAUGGACACGUCAGCGCUCCUUUAAUCGCGCCUCAUGCUUUUCUGUUUGCUUCUGCGUUGUUACUUUGUUGUAAGAUGACAAGGAUAGAAAAUCCUUCCUGUGAGGAGAUCACGAAAGGAACCAACCCGAUUUAAGCACGUUCACGGCCCUCCAGAUUCCUGGAAUGGUUUGGGAAAGAACUAAACCUCAACACUGAACAUGUGCGUCAGACAGUGGUGCUGUGGGCUUUGAGGAUGCAGAAUUGACCUCAGUUGCUGCUGUUGAUGGGCUCGCCCAGCCUGUAAUUUUUUUAAUUAAAGUUUCUUAGUUUUUUUGUG
This 507-nucleotide long non-coding RNA is filed under the name Bos taurus (domestic cattle). RNAcentral describes it as "long non-coding RNA NONBTAT009068". The record is from RNAcentral. Lineage: Eukaryota; Metazoa; Chordata; Mammalia; Artiodactyla; Bovidae.